UACAGAGGGCCCGAGCGUUACGCGGAUUCACUGGGCUUAAAGGGUGCGUAGGCGGCGGCGUAAGUGCUUUGUGAAAUCCCACGGCUUAACCGUGGAAUUGCAAGGCAUACUGCGUCGCUUGAGGCCAGUAGAGGGUGCCGGAACUGUAGGUGUAGCGGUGAAAUGCGUAGAUAUCUACAGGAACGCCGAUGGUGAAGACAGGCACCUGGGCUGGUUCUGACGCUGAGGCACGAAAGCGUGGGGAGCAAACAGG
This 253-nucleotide ribosomal RNA is filed under the name uncultured bacterium. Its description in RNAcentral is "partial 16S ribosomal RNA". It matches the Rfam family "Bacterial small subunit ribosomal RNA", at positions 524 to 776 of the family's 1533-position model. The record is from RNAcentral.